This 113-nucleotide non-coding RNA is filed under the name Oceanobacillus picturae. Its description in RNAcentral is "Glycine sequence". It matches the Rfam family "Glycine riboswitch aptamer". Rfam says of the family: This family represents the bacterial glycine riboswitch. Glycine riboswitches usually consist of two metabolite-binding aptamers domains with similar structures in tandem. The aptamers cooperatively bind glycine to regulate the expression of downstream genes. The record is from Rfam by way of RNAcentral. Lineage: Bacteria; Bacillati; Bacillota; Bacilli; Caryophanales; Bacillaceae.
AUGAUUACAUGGGGAGAGAUUAUCGUUCCAUUUCGUUGAUCAAUUUGGAAAGAUAACGCCGAAGGAGCAAGCAAACAUGCGAAUCUCUCAGGCAAAAAGACUCUUGUAGGACG